ACUAGAAUCUCAGUUUCUCUAAUCGAUAAAAGGAAAAAAAAAUCUGUGGGAGGCAAUGAAGAUUAGUGCAAGCAAGCCAUGAGCGCAAUAUAAAGAUUCAAAUGAAAGCAUCGAUUUUAUCCUAGACAUGAUCAGAGUUUUCAUAUUCCCCAUUCAUUUUCUCCCUUGAUGGAAUAAGCAAACCUUCUCAACAACAAACGACAUAAAGCCCCAAAGGCAUAGAAUGCUCAUCCAACAGACUAAAAUCUAAGAAAAAAAAUAAGAAGUGGCAUAAAAUGACACCCCAAUGUCCAGAGAAAAUCUCUAAUGUAAAAUCAGAACAGUAAUGAAACAUUGCCCACUUACUGGACGACCAAACUUGGACAUUUCUGCAACUUUAACUCUUUGCUGACCUGGAUGGCC
Molecule: long non-coding RNA, 402 nt
Organism: Populus euphratica (Euphrates poplar)
Lineage: Eukaryota; Viridiplantae; Streptophyta; Magnoliopsida; Malpighiales; Salicaceae
Exons: 2
Source: RefSeq, a predicted model, not a curated record